This 443-nucleotide ribosomal RNA is filed under the name uncultured bacterium. Its description in RNAcentral is "partial 16S ribosomal RNA". It matches the Rfam family "Bacterial small subunit ribosomal RNA", at positions 338 to 795 of the family's 1533-position model. The record is from RNAcentral.
CCUACGGGGGGCUGCAAUUAGGAAUCUUGCGCAAUGGGGGCAACCCUGACGCAGCGACGCCGCGUGGAGGAUGAAGGUUUUCGGAUCGUAAACUCCUUUUAAGAGGGAAGAAGUUCUGACGGUACCUCUUGAAUAAGCCCCGGCUAACUACGUGCCAGCAGCCGCGGUAAUACGUAGGGGGCGAGCGUUGUCCGAAGUUACUGGGCGUAAAGCGCGCGUAGGCGGUUUCUUAAGUCUGGGGUGAAAGGUUCAGCGCUCAACGUGACCAGUGCCUUGGAUACUGGGAGACUUGAGUAAGGGAGAGGGCAGUGGAAUUCCUGGUGUAGCGGUGAAAUGCGUAGAUAUCAGGAGGAACACCAAUGGCGAAGGCAGCUGCCUGGCCUAUUACUGACGCUGAGGUGCGAAAGCGUGGGGAGCGACCGGGAUUAGAUACCCGAGUAGUC